UCCAGACUCCUACGGGAGGCAGCAGUGGGGAAUAUUGCACAAUGGGGGAAACCCUGAUGCAGCGACGCCGCGUGAGUGAAGAAGUAUUUCGGUAUGUAAAGCUCUAUCAGCAGGGAAGAAAAUGACGGUACCUGACUAAGAAGCCCCGGCUAACUACGUGCCAGCAGCCGCGGUAAUACGUAGGGGGCAAGCGUUAUCCGGAUUUACUGGGUGUAAAGGGAGCGUAGACGGCAUGGCAAGUCAGAUGUGGAAGCCCGGGGCUCAACCCCGGGACUGCAUUUGAAACUGUCAGGCUGGAGUGCAGGAGAGGUAAGUGGAAUCCCUAGUGUAGCGGUGAAAUGCGUAGAUAUUAGGAGGAACACCAGUGGCGAAGGCGGCCUGCUGGACGACAACUGACGGUGAGGCGCGAAAGCGUGGGGAGCAAACAGGAUUAGAUACCCGCGUAA
This 446-nucleotide ribosomal RNA is filed under the name uncultured bacterium. Its description in RNAcentral is "bacterial SSU rRNA". It matches the Rfam family "Bacterial small subunit ribosomal RNA", at positions 330 to 793 of the family's 1533-position model. The record is from RNAcentral.